UACGGAGGGUGCAAGCGUUAUCCGGAUUCACUGGGUUUAAAGGGUGCAUAGGCGGGGAAGUAAGUCCGUGGUGAAAUCUCUGAGCUUAACUCAGAAACUGCCGUGGAUACUAUUUGCCUUGAAUAUUGUGGAGGUGAGCGGAAUAUGUCAUGUAGCGGUGAAAUGCUUAGAUAUGACAUAGAACACCAAUUGCGAAGGCAGCUCACUACACAAUCAUUGACGCUGAGGCACGAAAGCGUGGGGAUCAAACAGG
Molecule: ribosomal RNA, 253 nt
Filed under: uncultured bacterium
Lineage: Bacteria
Description: partial 16S ribosomal RNA
Rfam family: Bacterial small subunit ribosomal RNA
Source: RNAcentral